RNAcentral lists this long non-coding RNA (1019 nucleotides) under Phasianus colchicus (ring-necked pheasant). RNAcentral describes it as "lncRNA (ENSPCLG00000007319.1)". The record is from RNAcentral. Lineage: Eukaryota; Metazoa; Chordata; Aves; Galliformes; Phasianidae.
UACUUUCCAUAUUUAAACUCUCAGUCAAUGCACAGUACUAUAAAAGAUACUAACGUACUCUGCAAUGACCUUUCUGUUUCUCUGAAAUUGGGGGAUGGAGAGGGAGAAGACUUUUUGGAUGAAGAACAGGGGUUGAACUGGGAAACCUAAGAUCUAUGCUUUAAAUGAAAUUCAGUUUUACUUUUAUAAUGGCUGAAGAGAUCCAUCACUCUCACGGCACAACAUUCAAAGGAAAAGAAUCAUUUAGAUGAUUUAUUAUCUUUCCAAGUGAUAGAUGACAACUCUGAAAUCGCUUUCCUGAUUUAGGAGAUAAAGGGACACCUUCUAAAGUGAAAGCACAUUAGAGAUCCAUGUACCUUCAUGUGAAAGUUGUGCUGCAUUAACUCUGACCUGCUGCUUUGUGCAAGGCCUUCAGUUGCUUCCUGUAGAGCGCCUGCUCUGUGGCCAGUCUGCAAGGGUUUAAGCCAGCUAGAUACCACAACAGGAGAUGUCAAAUACAGUUGUCCACAGUUUUGCACAUAAUGACACUCAUUCAACCGCGGCGGAGCUUUUCAAACCCACAGCCAGGGAGGAGCAUUGUGACAACAUCCCAGUUUUGUUGUGAAAUGUGACACCCUUCUCCAUGCAUGGGGUGGGCUGCUGAACCAUCAGAGGCAGAGAGGAGAAAAAACAUGAAGGCCAGUGUGAAGGAUCAAAGGAAACUGUGGGUUUAUGUAAAAAAGCUGACAUCUGGCUGUGCAGAGGUUAACUGAACAAAUAAGAGAUUGCAGUUGGCUAAUUUGCCAUCAUCUGAUAGGAAAGCACAGAUAAGGAAAGAGGUAAGAGUUCAGCUGCAGUCAAGCAAGACACAGAUUCUGUCCCCAUAGAGCGUGGUAGGUUGGGAAGAGGCUUUCAGCCUCAAAUUAGAAUCAACAUGUCCCCCAAACCAGGAAAAGCUUCAUUCUGUGAAAUUCCAUUCACUCCUAGAUAGAAGAAUUGGUUCACAGCACUGUUUUGCAUUGGGUGGCAGUUAACUAACU